AAAGUCGUAACAAGGUCUCCGUUGGUGAACCAGCGGAGGGAUCAUUACCGAGUUAUACUCCAGACCCUUUGUGAACCAUACCUCAUGUUGCUCGGCGCACCGCUGGGUGGCCUAACCGCCCCUCCGCAUCGCGUCAGAGGACCUAAACUCUUAUUUUAUAGCGUACCUUCUGAUUAAAAAGACAAACAAGUCAAAACUUUCAACAACGGAUCUCUUGGCUCUG
RNAcentral lists this unclassified non-coding RNA (223 nucleotides) under Ascomycota sp. Its description in RNAcentral is "partial contains small subunit ribosomal RNA, internal transcribed spacer 1, and 5.8S ribosomal RNA". The stretch from base 1 to 47 matches the Rfam family "Eukaryotic small subunit ribosomal RNA", at positions 1785 to 1831 of the family's 1831-position model. Lineage: Eukaryota; Fungi; Ascomycota. The record is from RNAcentral.